AUGACUGGGGAUAAAAAGAAUUGUGCCCAGCUAAGGAAUGAACAAAGCAAGAAGUAUGAUAGCUUUUCUGAGAACAAGAAAACACCAGUACAACAUCAGAAAUGGGCAGAGAAUUCCCCAAGUUUGGAGCAGUCCCUUGUCCUGCAAGGUCCUGAUGUGUCUGGAACAGUGACCAGGAAAGUGCGUGAUGCCACCAGUCAAACCACAGGCUUGGUCUUCAUGAUUAAAGACUGCAAAAACACAGAACUUCAUGCUCAGGAUCACAUUUUAUUACAUCUGGAACGUGUAAAUUCAGCUGGAACGGAUGAAGCUAUAGCCACAUCCACUACAACAGAAGGCAGAAAGUGUGUGAUUCCGGUAAGAAAAAUCACCUCUGGAAUUCCACUUCUGCUUAAAGUAAUGGUGUCCCAGGUUAUACCUGCCUUAAGACAGGACCAGCACAAGAUGCUUCAGCUAAACACUUAUUUUUCACAUGGGCUGACUUCCUAUCACUAUCACUAGUUCCUUUCUUAUUUCCUACGUCAGUGACACUACCCUAAAGAGAGUGUACAUGUAUACACACUUAUAUUUUGAGCCUGUAUAUGCUGACAUUUAGAUGAAGACUAGUGCAAAAGUAGAUUUAAUCUCUGAUCUCUGUGCCAGUCUGCUAAGAGCAAAGUCCCUUUUCCUUAGGAUGUUAAUUCUAUCUCUUGCAUAUUUAUGCUCUAGGAAUCUGUGCUGAAGGAAAAGGCAUUUGUUUCAAAUGCAAAGAUAGAACCUAAAGAUAAUGAAGAUAUUAAUCCAUGUUUCAGCAAGUUUACAGUGAAAAACUUGGGGAUGCUUACUACAUUGUGUAACUUAUGUCAGGCUCAGACAGAAAAUAUUCCUCAAGAAACAGGUAAAUCAUAUUUAAUGCUAUUAUGUCCAAUCUGUUUCAACCACUUCAAUCAAACUUUAAUCCAGACAGAAAGAGAGACAAUCUUCUCACUUAUUACUGAAGUGUCUUGCUCACUAUACCUAAAGUAUAAAUCACUGCUAGGUAAGAUGGUGGAGAUCUCGCUAAGGUUUAUUAUGAGAUAUGAUUACACUGCUUCCUCAGAACAAAAUCAUAACUUAUUCUGAUUGUGUCAUUAACAAUUUACUUUCUUUUGAGGCAUUUUUUAAAUAAUUUAAGGGUGUUCACUUUAAAAGAACAUAGAUCAGUUGAAUAUAGACUUCAACAGCGCAUGCUGCAGUUAUUUUUGUUUCCAGGUUUUAUUCUCAGUUCAUAUUUCUUGCUCUCAGUACAACAUAUAAAAAUAAAACUGGCUGUUAUAUAUGAGCCAGUUACAUAAUUUAUAGAGUUCUGGGUAUGCAUAAUCUCUGUAUUAUUAAAUACUUGCAUUUUGUGGUAAUAUUUCAUAUUUUUCUUUUUCUAAUUAGCUACUCUUCUGCAUCUACUCCUAGAUACCAUAGUGAGUGAGACUGUAGGUCUGUAACUAAGAGUUAGUAAAAAUGGUCUUGAUGAUAAAAGUUCUGCAGAGGCUGCACACUUACUGGAUUCUCAAGCCUUGCUCUUAGCAUGUGGACAGCAAACUGUCUGAUAUAAAACUUGUCCCUCAGGUAAAGAGAGAGCUUCCCAUGGAUUUCAGUGGAUUACAAUUUCACCGUUAGUGUUUUGACUUUAUUUUUGUAUUUGGCAGGAGUCUCAUGCUCUUUCAUAACAUAGAGCGUGAGUGCAGAGGUGACAUGAACUCUAGUAGCAAGCCUUAAAUUGUUUUAGUCGUGGCACUUAGUGUGACUGAGGUGAUGGAGAACCUUGUAUUUGUUUUCUGAGUAACCUGUGUUUCAGGUGAUGAUGCACCAUCCUUAAUAGAAGAUCAAGAGAAUGAUUCUCUGACAGUGGAGAAAGUACAUGGGGAGCAGAGAAGUCACAGAACUCCAAGAGAAGAGCAGGGCUCCUGUCCGUUUCAGGUAUGCAGCAAGCUUAUAGUUUUAUCUUAAAUGUUUUUCUCACCUAAAUUUUCAUCAGAAGAAAUCCUCAGUGUUGGCUGUCAUGGAGAUAUUACACCUGGGACUCAGCUUGCACAUUGAGAAGCUGAAGCUGUAUGAAGUUUUGUUGUACUGAGCUAAAAUAUUGCCCUUAAAUCUGGGGGAAUUUCAAUAGCAAUUCAUUGGCAUUCUUCAGUUUUCCUGCAUACUUAGUGAUUCUUGAUCAUAGUCUCUUCAGACUCAGACACAGAAGAAAGAUCCUUCUUUUGACACUGAAGAUAAUGAAAGAAGGUCAGCACUGAUUUCCAAUGAAGCUAUGGUAGCAAAAACGCAGUUAUGGAAGGAAAACUCACUACAGGAGCAGCAGAGGUACGAGAUCUGUCAAGGUCAAGACCACCUGCCGUACAUUCUGCUUCUUGUCGAUGUGUCAAAUGUUGCCUUGUUUGGGUUUAAUGCCCACAGUCGGGUUCUGUUGUGGAAAGGGGGGAGGCAGGCUAUAAUGACCUUAACCUGGGACUUAGUUUGUCUUGUAAAACCUUUAAAAAAAAUAAAAAGGGGGGGGGGGGGAAGCUCUCACAAACUAAUAAUAUUUAAUACAUGCCAUGUUAAUCAAAUAUUGGCUGCCAAUUUUUCUUCGGAUGUCUAAUUUUUUGGAGUCAGCUGAAGGUAUGUUGAAAUCAACUUGGAAAAGAAGUCGUCAUCUUUUCAGAAGACUGGGCUAGACAGAAAGCAUCAGCAGUAACAACUAAAAACAAGGCAUUUUGCAUUAUGCUGUCUGUAGAUAGCAAAUACACCCAAAGAAAUAUGAUGUUCUACACCAACGUUCUUGAAUGCCACUGAGUGCCUUCACUUUGUAACUUCAGUUUUAUCCUAAUUACAAUGUGGUGUUUUCAGGGUUAGCCCAGACUCCGAGAGAAAAGCAGAAGUUGUGCAUAUGAAUGAAAAAGCACCUUCUGAAAUUCUGUCUUCAGAAGGUAGGAAGUGCCUUUUCCCAACACGCCUUCUACAUUUACUUAAUUUAUAAUCUGAGUAAUAAUUCUUCCUGGAGUUGUUCAUAGAGGAUAAUAGUCUGCUGCCUGUACCAGGCAGUGAAGUUGCUCUUUGGGCUAAAACAAUAAAGAUCUUAAUGUAUACCCUACAUUCAAACCUUUCUUAUCAACUACCUUGGACACUACUGUGUUAGCUUGUUUACUAAGUUAAUGAUUUCUUCAUCUUUAUUUGAUGUCUUAUUUAUUUUUUGUAUGAUUUGAUAUUAAAAACAAUCUUCAAGUUGACUCAGCAUUUAACACUGCUGACUUUUGAAUGCAAUUCACUGCUGAGGACUACCAGACCUGAAUCAGAAGUUAACUAUCAGCACUUCUAUCAAAUACUUCUCUGAAAUUAUUUUU
RNAcentral lists this long non-coding RNA (3338 nucleotides) under Anas zonorhyncha (Eastern spot-billed duck). RNAcentral describes it as "lncRNA (ENSAZOG00000019351.1)". The record is from RNAcentral. Lineage: Eukaryota; Metazoa; Chordata; Aves; Anseriformes; Anatidae.